Molecule: long non-coding RNA, 926 nt
Organism: Vicia villosa (hairy vetch)
Lineage: Eukaryota; Viridiplantae; Streptophyta; Magnoliopsida; Fabales; Fabaceae
Exons: 3
Source: RefSeq, a predicted model, not a curated record
CCUUCAAUCUAUUCGUCUGCGAAACUCAAAUUUCGUAUGCACACUAGGAAAGAGGAACGCCCUUCAAUCGAUUCAUCUGCGAAUCGUUUUGUUCUUGGAAUUUACCAUCAAUCGCAAGCCCUUCAAAUCGCAAACAUUCCCUUCAUAAACUGCAAAACCUUCGCCAAUCGAUUCUCUUUUUCGAGUGUUUGAGUCUCAAGGCGUUUAUACUCAUCUCUAAUCGGAACAGAGUUUUGGGGGGCUUCAUUUGAGAUAUUAUGGUUGAAUACUCUCAGAAAAUAAGAGAUAUAGGUUUCACUAUCCUUGAACUAUUGUCAGAGGCAUUAGGACUUAAUCAUUCUCUCCUCAAAGAUAUGAAUUUUGGUAAAGGAUUAAUUUUUCCCUUCGUCAUUAUUAUCCACCAUGUCCGGAAAAGAAUUAACAAUGGGGACGUCCAGUCACACUCAUACUAACUUCAUCAUGUUGUUUCUACAAGACCAAGUUGUGGCCUUCAAGUUCUUCAUCAGGAAAAGUGGAUUGAUGUUCCUCCAUUGCAUGGAGCACUGGUCGCAAACAUAGGAGAUCUUCUGUAGGCAUUUUAACUGAGUGUCAUCACAAAAGAAAGAACCACGAAUUUCAGCCGCUGGCUUUAUUAUGAAUUCUUCGAACACAUUUGAAGGAGAAUCCAAGAUUUAUGGUCCUAUAAAGGAAUUGCUCUCAGAAGAAAAUCCACUGGUCUAUAGAGAUGUUCAUGUAAAAGAGUGUUUUGCAUAUCACUAUGCUAGAGGGCUUUACGGAACUUGUUCUUUGGAGCCAUUCAAGUUGUGAAUUUUGGUUUAUUAAUUACUCCCUCCAUCUCAAAUUAUAAGACACUUUAGAGAAAAAAAAUUCUCAAAUUAUAAGUCAUUUUACAAUUUCAAUGCAACAUUAACAUAGUUUUUUCCAAU